RNAcentral lists this ribosomal RNA (1173 nucleotides) under uncultured fungus. RNAcentral describes it as "eukaryotic LSU rRNA". The stretch from base 539 to 1173 matches the Rfam family "Eukaryotic large subunit ribosomal RNA", at positions 1 to 649 of the family's 3401-position model. The record is from RNAcentral. Lineage: Eukaryota; Fungi.
AAGUCGUAACAAGGUUUCCGUAGGUGAACCUGCGGAAGGAUCAUUAUCGAGUUAGGGUCUUACAGGCCCCCACUCCCGCCCUUGUCUACCCUACCAUGUUGCUGUGGCGGGCCCGUCCUUCCCUGGACCGCCGGUUGGCCUGCCCUCCGGCCCGUGCCCGUCCGUAGCCCCGACCAACUCGUUGUAACCGUGGAGUCUGAGUCAUUAAACCUAAAGAAGCAAAACUUUCAACAACGGAUCUCUUGGUUCUGGCAUCGAUGAAGAACGCAGCGAAAUGCGAUAAGUAAUGCGAAUUGCAGAAUUCCGUGAGUCAUCGAAUCUUUGAACGCACAUUGCGCCCUUUGGUAUUCCGAAGGGCAUGCCUGUUCGAGCGUCAUUUCAACCCUCAAGCCUGGCUUGCCGUUGGGUCCCGCCGCUGAGAAUGGCGGCGGGCCUGAAAGAUAAUGGCGGAGCCCGUGGGGACCCGGACGUAACGAGCUUUUCCGGCACGCGUCCGGUCGUCUCUCGGGUCGCCUCACCCCCAGAUUUUCUCUCGGAUUGACCUCGGAUCAGGUAGGGAUACCCGCUGAACUUAAGCAUAUCAAUAAGCGGAGGAAAAGAAACCAACAGGGAUUGCCUCAGUAACGGCGAGUGAAGCGGCAACAGCUCAAAUUUGAAAUCUGGCCCCUCUGGGGGUCCGAGUUGUAAUUUGCAGAGGAUGCUUCGGGCAAGGCUGCGGUCUAAUUCGCUUGGAACAGCGAGUCAAAGAGGGUGAGAAUCCCGUCUAGGAUCGUGAGCCGCGCCCGUGUGAAGCUCCUUCGACGAGUCGAGUUGUUUGGGAAUGCAGCUCUAAAUGGGUGGUAAAUUUCAUCUAAAGCUAAAUACUGGCCAGAGACCGAUAGCGCACAAGUAGAGUGAUCGAAAGAUGAAAAGCACUUUGAAAAGAGAGUUAAACAGUAUGUGAAAUUGUUGAAAGGGAAGCGCUUGCAAUCAGACUUGCGCGUAGCGGUUCCCCCGGCCUUGCCGGCCGGGUCACUCUGCUAUGUCCAGGCCAACAUCGGUCUGGGUGGUCGGUAAAAGACCCCGGGAACGUAUCUACCUCCGGGUCGACUUACAGCCCGGGGUGUCAUGCGGCCCACCUGGACCGAGGAACGCGCUCCGGCUCGGAUGUUGGCGUAAUGGUUGCAAGCGGCC